GAUGAACGCUGGCGGCGUGCCUAAUACAUGCCAGUCGAGCGAACGGACGAGAAGCUUGCUUUUCUGAUGUUAGCGGCGGACGGGUGAGUAACACGUGGAUAACCUACCUAUAAGACUGGGAUAACUUCGGGAAACCGGAGCUAAUACCGGAUAAUAUUUUGAACCGCAUGGUUCAAAAGUGAAAGACGGUCUUGCUGUCACUUAUAGAUGGAUCCGCGCUGCAUUAGCUAGUUGGUAAGGUAACGGCUUACCAAGGCAACGAUGCAUAGCCGACCUGAGAGGGUGAUCGGCCACACGGGAACUGAGACACGGUCCAGACUCCUACGGGAGGCAGCAGUAGGGAAUCUUCCGCAAUGGGCGGAAGCCUGACGGAGCGACGCCGCGUGAGUGACGAAGGUCUUCGGAUCGUAAAACUCUGUUAUUAGGGAAGAACAUAUGUGUAAGUAACUGUGCACAUCUUGACGGUACCUAAUCAGAAAGCCACGGCUAACUACGUG
Molecule: ribosomal RNA, 497 nt
Filed under: uncultured bacterium
Lineage: Bacteria
Description: partial 16S ribosomal RNA
Rfam family: Bacterial small subunit ribosomal RNA
Source: RNAcentral